AGAGUUUGAUCAUGGCUCAGAGCGAACGCUGGCGGCAGGCUUAACACAUGCAAGUCGAACGGACGUAGCAAUACGUCAGUGGCAGACGGGUGAGUAACACGUGGGAACGUGCCCUUCGGUUCGGAACAACCCAGGGAAACUUGGGCUAAUACCGGAUACGUCCGCAAGGAGAAAGAUUUAUCGCCGAAGGAUCGGCCCGCGUCUGAUUAGCUUGUUGGUGAGGUAACGGCUCACCAAGGCGACGAUCAGUAGCUGGUCUGAGAGGAUGAUCAGCCACACUGGGACUGAGACACGGCCCAGACUCCUACGGGAGGCAGCAGUGGGGAAUAUUGGACAAUGGGCGCAAGCCUGAUCCAGCCAUGCCGCGUGGGUGAUGAAGGCCUUAGGGUUGUAAAGCCCUUUCGGCGGGGAAGAUAAUGACGGUACCCGCAGAAGAAGCCCCGGCUAACUUCGUGCCAGCAGCCGCGGUAAUACGAAGGGGGUUAGCGUUGCUCGGAAUCACUGGGCGUAAAGCGCACGUAGGCGGAUUGCUAAGUCAGGGGUGAAAUCCUGGAGCUCAACUCCAGAACUGCCCUUGAUACUGGCGACCUUGAGUCCGGGAGAGGUGAGUGGAACUGCGAGUGUAGAGGUGAAAUUCGUAGAUAUUCGCAAGAACACCAGUGGCGAAGGCGGCUCACUGGCCCGGUACUGACGCUGAGGUGCGAAAGCGUGGGGAGCAAACAGGAUUAGAUACCCUAGUAGUCC
RNAcentral lists this ribosomal RNA (744 nucleotides) under uncultured bacterium. RNAcentral's name for it is "bacterial SSU rRNA". It matches the Rfam family "Bacterial small subunit ribosomal RNA", at positions 8 to 796 of the family's 1533-position model. The record is from RNAcentral.